GUAGUCUCGCACAGAUGCAUAUCAAUAAGCGGAGGAAAAGAAACUAACAAGGAUUCCCCUAGUAACGGCGAGUGAAGCGGGAAGAGCUCAAGUUUGAAAUCUUAAAGGGUCUCCCUUUACGAAUUGUAGUUUAAAGAAGUGUUUUCUGUUGAGGUUUUGGUAAAAGUUCUUUGGAAUAGGACAUCAUAGAGGGUGAGAAUCCCGUAUUUGACCUUUACUUUCAACUUUGUGAUACACUUUCAAAGAGUCGGAUUGUUUGGGAAUGCAGUCCAAAAUGGGUGGUAAAUUUCAUCUAAAGCUAAAUAUUGGCGAGAGACCGAUAGCGAACAAGUACCGUGAGGGAAAGAUGAAAAGAACUUUGAAAAGAGAGUUAAACAGUACGUGAAAUUGUCAAAAGGGAAGCGUUUGACACCAGUGUUGUUUUUCUGAAAAUCAAUUAAAGAACUGUUUAUGCUAAGUUGUUUAGACUUUAUCAGCUAACUGUUUAGUUUUGAGCUUUUCUUUAAUGCACUUUUCAGUUAACAAGUCAACAUCAAUUUCUUUUGCUGUAAAAAAGCUUGAGGAAGGUGGCUUGAGAUUCGUCUUAAGUGUUUAUAGCCUCUUGCCUAUGCAGUCGGAGAGAUUGAGGUCUGCAGCGUAGAUCCUUCGGGGCUAAAUGCAUUUGUGCUAAGUUAUAGCAUUUUAUAGACAACUUGUUGACUAUGAUUUGUCUUGUAGCUUACUCGCUUAUGUUAUUUUACCUACGCUUAGGAUGUUGACGCAUGAGAUAUACGC
Molecule: ribosomal RNA, 774 nt
Filed under: uncultured Neocallimastigales
Lineage: Eukaryota; Fungi; Neocallimastigomycota; Neocallimastigomycetes; Neocallimastigales
Description: partial large subunit ribosomal RNA
Rfam family: Eukaryotic large subunit ribosomal RNA
Source: RNAcentral